This 952-nucleotide ribosomal RNA is filed under the name Stenochorema crassicostum. RNAcentral describes it as "SSU rRNA". It matches the Rfam family "Eukaryotic small subunit ribosomal RNA", at positions 62 to 961 of the family's 1831-position model. The record is from RNAcentral. Lineage: Eukaryota; Metazoa; Arthropoda; Insecta; Trichoptera; Hydrobiosidae.
AGUAUAAGCCGAAUUAAGGUGAAACCGCGAAUGGCUCAAUAUAUCAGUUUUGGUUCCUUAGAUCGUACACAGUUACUUGGAUAACUGUGGCAAUUCUAGAGCUAAUACAUGCAAACGAAGUUCUGACCGGCAACGGGAGGAAUGCUUUUAUUAGAUCAAAAACCAAUCGGCGGCGGGGCGACCCGUCCGCCGCUCUCCGAGAUGACUCUAGAUAACUUUGAGCUGAUCGCACGGUCCAGUACCGGCGACGCAUCUUUCAAAUGUCUGCCUUAUCAACUGUCGAUGGUAGUUUAUGCGACUACCAUGGUUGUCACGGGUAACGGGGAAUCAGGGUUCGAUUCCGGAGAGGGAGCCUGAGAAACGGCUACCACAUCCACGGAAGGCAGCAGGCGCGCAAAUUACCCACUCCCGGCACGGGGAGGUAGUGACGAAAAAUAACGAUACGGGACUCGUCCGAGGCCUCGUGAUCGGAAUGAUUACACUUUAAAUCCUUUAAUGAGGAUCCAUUGGAGGGCAAGUCUGGUGCCAGCAGCCGCGGUAAUUCCAGCUCCAAUAGCAUAUACUAAAGUUGUUGCGGUUAAAAAGCUCGUAGUUGAAAUUGUGUCCUGCGGUGUCGGUCUACCGACUGCGGUACGACAGGCACGUCUGCGGGGCUUCUCGCCGGUGCGUCCACCGCCGGUGCGUGUCGCGACCUUCCUAACGGUCGGCCGCGCGCGUCGAGGCGGGCCGUCGCGGCUGUUUACUUUGAACAAAUUAGAGUGCUCAAAGCGGGCUAACACUUGCCUGAAUAUUGUACGCAUGGAAUAAUAGAAUAGGACCUCGGUUCUGUUUUGUUGGCUUUCUGAUACCAGAGGUAAUGAUUAAUAGGGACAACUGGGGGCAUUCGUAUUGCGACGUUAGAGGUGAAAUUCUUGGAUCGUCGCAAGACGGACUAAAGCGAAAGCAUUGCCAA